Molecule: small RNA, 224 nt
Filed under: Mycobacterium lacus
Lineage: Bacteria; Bacillati; Actinomycetota; Actinomycetes; Mycobacteriales; Mycobacteriaceae
Description: c-di-AMP sequence
Rfam family: c-di-AMP riboswitch aptamer (ydaO/yuaA leader)
About the family: This family represents a conserved RNA structure found upstream of the ydaO and yuaA genes in Bacillus subtilis and related genes in other bacteria.
Source: Rfam by way of RNAcentral
CCCUAUAACGCGCCGAGCUCCAUCCAAUAGGCGAGGGAUUCCGACCGCGGAUGGAGGCGGGGGACCCACCAGGUCCGCCGAGAUCGGACCGGAGCCGCGCGGUGGCUCCUUGGGGUGAAGCCGACGUCGUCUCGCCGAAGUACGACGCUGGCCGGGUGACCUCUCUGGUUUGAAUCCAACCCGAACCCGACAGCUGACCUCGCAGGCGUGUAUAGAGAGGAAUU